CUGGAGGUAUCAGAAGUGCGAAUGCUGACAUAAGUAACGAUAAAGCGGGUGAAAAGCCCGCUCGCCGGAAGACCAAGGGUUCCUGUCCAACGUUAAUCGGGGCAGGGUGAGUCGACCCCUAAGGCGAGGCCGAAAGGCGUAGUCGAUGGGAAACAGGUUAAUAUUCCUGUACUUGGUGUUACUGCGAAGGGGGGACGGAGAAGGCUAUGUUGGCCGGGCGACGGUUGUCCCGGUUUAAGCGUGUAGGCUGGUUUUCCAGGCAAAUCCGGAAAAUCAAGGCUGAGGCGUGAUGACGAGGCACUACGGUGCUGAAGCAACAAAUGCCCUG
This 328-nucleotide ribosomal RNA is filed under the name Escherichia coli. RNAcentral's name for it is "partial 23S ribosomal RNA". It matches the Rfam family "Bacterial large subunit ribosomal RNA", at positions 1273 to 1604 of the family's 2925-position model. The record is from RNAcentral. Lineage: Bacteria; Pseudomonadati; Pseudomonadota; Gammaproteobacteria; Enterobacterales; Enterobacteriaceae.